UAAAAACAGUGUUGUUUGUGUUACUUUGGCUGUUUAGCACAUGAGCUAACGCUAACCGGUGAUGUAAAUAUGAGGCUGAGCUAACGUUACAACAGUGUGCUCACUGGUCUUAGGAUUCACGGUAAUGUUAAUGUUGCCAAACCUUAAUUUGUCAUAUCAGCACUCAUGACAGUGAACCGAGAAACUGAAUUGGGAUAUUGAGAUUUGAUCGCUUCUAACCGGCCGGUGAACCCUGAGAAGUUGUCCGCGGACGACGAGCUAGCUAGCGCUACUCGGCUGUGAACAUGGUAGCUAGCCAUCGUCAUGUUCACAGCCGAGUAGCGCUAGCUAGCUCAUCGUCCGCGAGCAACUUGUCAGUGGUCACUGUUAAUGUUCCGACAUGAACACGCAUGGGAAACUGUCUCCUCCACAUGCUCACAGCCGAUCAGUCAGUGUGAAAUUGUCUCAGUUGUUCGCGGACGGAGAGCUAAUGUUCCGCCGUGAACACGCAGUGAGGACAGUAUGAAAUGCUCUGUUAUUCACGGCCAGUGAGCUACGUUACGUCAAUUUGCAUGUUGUGCUAAAGGCUAAAGGACAGUGUGUUAGAUGCCCAGCAGCACCAUGGCAGUUGAACGACUUAUUUUGUGUUGAUAUACAUGUAACUACGUGUGUAGUGUUAGCUGCUGGUACGAGAGACCCGAUCUGACAGUACCAAAACUUUAUCUGCAGUCAAGCAAUCAUUACUUUGUUUUGGAGCCUGAGACAGGGGUUACCUGUCUUCUGUGCUACGAUUAACGUUAGUUAUAUGAAGGCAUGGACACAAUAUGUAUUGCUCACUUACUAAAUCUAAUGUGAAGUGAGGAAUUUGCAUGGGUUUGCUCGGAUUAUUAUUUGCCAGAUUUUGCCUUAGCAAAUUAUUUUUUUAAUCAUCAUUUCUGUCUACAUAGCUUUGUUUCAUGUAACAUGAGAAAACAGACACAUAACAUAUUCCUUCCUUUUGUGUUGAGCCAAGCACAUCUGUACAGCAGUCUGUAGUGCAUCAUGUUGCCUGCCAGACAGACCAACCAGUGAAAUGCACGGUUGGCACACAGCUUUCCAUGAGAACUCUCCGGCCUCACUUUAGAAGCACAGUUUUUAUCUAUCAAAGGCACACAGAAAUCACUGUCCUGUGCUGAUGUUGGAGUUGGCACCUCAAACAUUCCCUUCCCAACUUCUCAACCAUUCCUAUCAUCGACCCCAAUCAAGAGACCAUGCAAAAGGGCUCGCUUGGAACUGGAGGAGGAGGAGGAAGAAUAGGAUCCAUUGGAGGGCAGUUCAUUCAUGGACAUUCCCUACCCCAAGGAUUCUACGCAUAAUCCUGAGGAAUCUGUCACAGUUUUGUCUGAGUCAGUAGAUGUGACACUGGAGCCUUCCUGCCCCGUUCAUAAGACACCAACAUAUAUUGUCUAUGAAAAGUGUCUGAUGGAGCUGUUUGAGGUGUGCCCUGUCUGUCAGCGUGUUUCAGACGUUCAGAUAAGAAGGAUAGGCACUUUCCUCUCUGUAGAACAGACAUGCCCACAUUGUCAGUUCUUCAGAAAAUGGAACAGCCAGCCAAUUCUGGGAAGCACACCAGCAGGAAACCUACACCACAGGAGCAUCUUUCUUUAAACUUGAAAAGAUCUUCCGGGCAAUGCAGCUGAAGAUGUUUCAGUAUGACACUUUUCGCUGUCACGCACGGUCAUACAUAGAGCCUGCCAUCAUACACACUUGGAAGACUGUGCAGGAUGGCAUGAUGGAGCAGCUCAGUCAGCAGGAGAGUGUUAUCCUAGGUGGCGACUUAAGGGCUGACUCUCCAGGCCACUCUGCCAAGUUUGGCAGUUACUCAAUGAUGGACCUGAGGAGCAACACUAUUGUUGACAUACAGCUGGUUCAGAGCAACAAAGUCGUGGAAGUUAUCACAUGGAGAAAGAAGGUCUGAAGAGGAGCCUUGCUCUCUUGGAGGCACGUGGUGUUGCAUUGGACAGCAUUGUCACAGACCAUCACCCUCAGAUUCAAAAGUUCCUGAGGGAGACCAAAGUGACACAGUACUAAGAUGUCUGGCAUAUUGAAAAAGGACUGUCCAAGAAACUGGUCAAGAUAGCCCAGAACAAAGACUGCAAGAAGCGGCUUUGCAGCAUCAAGAACCAUGUGUGCUGGACAGCAGCCUCCUCUACAUCAGGGCCAGAGAGAGUGGC
Molecule: long non-coding RNA, 2192 nt
Organism: Acanthopagrus latus (yellowfin seabream)
Lineage: Eukaryota; Metazoa; Chordata; Actinopteri; Spariformes; Sparidae
Exons: 7
Source: RefSeq, a predicted model, not a curated record